RNAcentral lists this ribosomal RNA (253 nucleotides) under uncultured bacterium. Its description in RNAcentral is "partial 16S ribosomal RNA". It matches the Rfam family "Bacterial small subunit ribosomal RNA", at positions 524 to 776 of the family's 1533-position model. The record is from RNAcentral.
GACGAAGGUGGCAAGCGUUGUUCGGAAUCACUGGGCUUAAAGAGCACGUAGGCGGCCCUUCAAGUGCCUUGUGAAAUCCCCCGGCUCAACCGGGGAAUUGCAUGGCAGACUGUAGGGCUUGAGGCAGGUAAGGGCGAGUGGAACUCUUGGUGGAGCGGUGGAAUGCGUAGAUAUCAAGAGGAACGCCGGUGGUGAAGACGACUCGCUGGGCCUGUCCUGACGCUGAGGUGCGAAAGCCAGGGGAGCAAACGGG